RNAcentral lists this ribosomal RNA (305 nucleotides) under uncultured bacterium. Its description in RNAcentral is "bacterial SSU rRNA". It matches the Rfam family "Bacterial small subunit ribosomal RNA", at positions 336 to 659 of the family's 1533-position model. The record is from RNAcentral.
UUCCUACGGGAGGCAGCAGUGGGGAAUAUUGCACAAUGGGGGAAACCCUGAUGCAGCGACGCCGCGUGAGUGAAGAAGUAUUUCGGUAUGUAAAGCUCUAUCAGCAGGGAAGAAAAUGACGGUACCUGACUAAGAAGCCCCGGCUAACUACGUGCCAGCAGCCGCGGUAAUACGUAGGGGGCAAGCGUUAUCCGGAUUUACUGGGUGUAAAGGGUGCGUAGGCGGUCCGUUAAGUCAGCGGUAAAAUUGCGGGGCUCAACCCCGUCGAGCCGUUGAAACUGGCAGACUUGAGUUGGCGAGAAGUU